CUCAUGCCAGCCUCCCUGUCCAAGGGCCUGGUCCCUGUGAGUGCACCUGGGGGCAGGCAAUGGGGGACUCAUUUGCAUGGUCAGUCCCUCCCCUGUGAGCCCAGUGACACUGCGAUAAGAGCGGCCUGGGGCAGCCCAACCCUGGGUCUGUGGCCUCAGAGGUAGCCGUGUCCACCAUGGCCCUGACUCCUCUCCUCCUCCUGCUCCUCUCUCACUGCACAGGUUCCCUCUCCCAGCCUGUGCUGACUCAGCCACCCUCCCUGUCUGCAUCCCCGGGAGCAUCGGCCAGACUCCCCUGCACCCUGAGCAGUGACCUCAGUGUUGGUAGUAAAAACAUGUACUGGUACCAGCAGAAGCCAGGGAGCGCUCCCAGGUUAUUCCUGUACUACUACUCCGACUCAGACAAGCAGCUGGGACCUGGGGUCCCCAAUCGAGUCUCUGGCUCCAAGGAGACCUCAAGUAACACAGCGUUUUUGCUCAUCUCUGGGCUCCAGCCUGAGGACGAGGCCGAUUAUUACUGUCAGGUGUAUGACAGUAGUGCUAAUCACAGUGAGAGAGACAGAUGAGGAAGUGGGACAAAAACCAAGGUUUUAAGCUUCUCACGUUUACUGAACUGGUUAAGAACUUCGGUGGUUAAUAAAAUCACAUUAAUACUGGA
Macaca mulatta (Rhesus monkey) is the source of this 658-nucleotide non-coding RNA. Lineage: Eukaryota; Metazoa; Chordata; Mammalia; Primates; Cercopithecidae. The record is from the annotation of a RefSeq genome assembly.